Hypanus sabinus (Atlantic stingray) is the source of this 7421-nucleotide long non-coding RNA. RefSeq lists it as uncharacterized. The transcript is spliced from 6 exons. The record is from RefSeq and is a predicted model, not a curated record. NCBI's taxonomy places the organism in Eukaryota, Metazoa, Chordata, Chondrichthyes, Myliobatiformes, Dasyatidae.
UUAUGGGGUAGUGUGGAAUUAUUACUUAUUUUAAGGAAUAUAUGGGUUGGCACAACAUCGAGGAUUGAAGGGCCUGUACUGUGCUGUAGUAUUCUAGUGUCUAGUGCAGACAACCACAAUAGGCAGACCACGGGCCAGGUCCGGACCACGAGAACCAAGUGUCUGGGCUGCGCUGACCCAUUGGCACUUACGUGAAUGCACCUGUCAUAACAUGUAAAUAAAGCGCGCGAUGCUCUAAUUUAUUUUAACCUCAUCCCACACCGUACACUUGACCUAAGCCCCGUAGAGUGUGCGACCAUCGCUGGCUGAGCAAAGGCCGUGUGUUUGAGAGGGUGUGUGACCUGCAUGAUGAGCUUGUGUCAUUUUUAUCCAGCCUGUAGAGCCAAAAAGCCCAAGGAUUUAAGAGGUUUUUAAGUGACAACAAGGUGAUGGCACAUGUUCUUUUUUUGUGUGACAUCAUGUCUCAUCUAAAUCAACUUAAUCUGCGAUUGCAAGGCAGCAACCACACUGUUGCAGACAUGUACGAGGUGAUUGAAGCUUUCUGGUCAGAGCGGAACCUUUUGGAGAGAGACAUUCAUGGGAGGAAGCUGCACUUUCCACGUCUGCGGGAGCAUUGCGAGAAGAACGAAAUGCGGGAGAAUCCAGUGAUGAAGGAUAUCGUGACAAGCCUGGCAGAAAACUGCAGGGAAUGAUUUGAAAGCUCCCCUAAAGUCUCAGAUGACAUCCUCCUCUUCCUGAGACAGCCGUUCUCUGUUUCGGCUGACAGCCAGUGGACUGCAGAGGCCAAAAGGUUGGUGCCUUCCAUAGAUGAGGCAAUUCUUCAGAUGGAGGUCUUGGAAAUGGGAACAUCUGAUUUGUUCAAAGUACAACACAAGGAUGUUGGGGUGAGUGACUUUUGGAUCAACGUGGUUCCCCCCAAGCUCAAUUCAAAAACAUGACAGCUAUUGCAAUGCUCCUACUCACACUGUUCCCCUCCACGUACAUAUGUGAAUCAUUGUUUUCUUCAAUGAACUCUAUCAAGAACCAGGACAGAAAUAGACUCUCCAAUGCACAUCUCGGCCAGUGCCUCAGGAUUGCCACAACAGAAAACGGAAGGAUUGCCUCAUCCCGUCACUGUCACUUCUCUCACUGAUUGAUGGUUAGGGCCAGGUGGAAGGUGAUGGCAAUGGCAUCAAAUGUUGAGCGCUUGGGACGUUACGCAAACUGCAGGGGUCCAAACAAAUGAUCAUCCAAUUUUCUACAUCAACAAAUUGGAACCGGAAGCCUACCAAUGGAGAAGAACUGCUACAUCCUUCAAACAGCUGGCACGAUGGAAGCAGCUUUUGAUGAGCAACAUCCACACAAACGAGAUUUCUCAGUUUGGCUGGACCAGAAGCUGUCUUCCCCUAGAUACACGCAUGCUGGCCGAACCUGAGGUAUUUUGAUUCCUGGACACAGGUGACUAGACCAGGAAAGUGGGUGGCUCACUUGUGAUGGAUUGGCACCAUGGAGUUGAAGUCCUCGAGAUGUACUGUCCACAACUUAGUGAUGCCUGAGAUGCAGGCUGCAGUUAAAUCUGAGCCACAAGCAUCUUUGAUCCAUGCUGUGCUGAGCUACUGUUCAAGCACUCUUUCUUCCUGCCUGAGCCAGCUAUCUGAAGUUCCCCUGCGGCUCUGGAAGAUGCUGCCCCGAUCACUCGACUUGAUCAGUCAGGGAGAAGCUUUUCUGGAUAAUGAUCUCAGGAGGAAGACUACACCAUCAUACUCUCUUGUUUUUCAUUACUUUCAUCUACACUAUCAAUCAAUGUUCUACGCUGACAUCCCAUAAGAAACAAAGACCAUAUUCUUAAAGGUAUUAUGAAAGUUAACGAGAAGUACCAGAACAGAGGAAUGAGGCAGAAGAGAGCUAAAAAAAUAAAUGGGGAGCACGAGAAAGAGGUAGUAAGAGAGAGAGGUAGAGAUGGACAGCAAGUGAAAGGGGUACUGAAAAGAAGAACGUGUGAAAAAGAGAGAGAAUUGUAGUGAAAGAGAGGGGAAUGAAACUGAAGAAGACAAUAAGGGAGGUUUAGUGGAGAAGACAGUGAUGAAGAGGCUUAGAGGAGAAUAAUGAGUGGGCAAUGGAAAAUAAAGUGGGGAGAGUAGGGGAAAAGCUAUGAGAUGAUAUCGCCGGAUAUGAAUUAAAGUGUGAUUUGAUGUACAGCAGGGAGGGACUUUUGUAUACUGUGGAGAUAAAAGGAGCAUUGUGGAUGCAACAGUGGAGGUGAAUGAGGAGGGGACAAGGGGUGAGAAAAUGAAAGGGAAAUAAAGGACAAUGUUGAGUGGACUAAGAGAGAAUUGAGAGGAUAUCGAGCAAAAAUGUUGAAGAGACCAGUGGGGGGAGGGGUCACCAAUGAGUGUCUGCAGAGGAUACAGUAGAGGAAAAUUAGGAGGGACAAAGUGGGAAUGUGGAGGACACAUUGCUGAGGAGGAAGAACAAGAGAAAAUGAAGAAAGACUUGGAAAGAAUAAGGAGUUAAUUAGAGGAGAAAGGGUCAAAUAAUGUACAUUCAAAUCUUUUUGUUUAUUCUGAAUGGGUCUCAGCUUCAGAGUACUGGCCUUUACGAUUUCAGGAAGACGAGAAAAUCUGCAGAUGCUGGAAGUCCAAAGUAACACACAGAAAAUGCUGGAAGAACUCGGCAGGCCAGGGAAAGAGUAAAAAAGGACCUAAUGAAGGGUCUUGGCUCAAAACUUCGACAGUUUACUCUUCUAUAGAUGCUGCCUGGCCUGCUGAGCUCCUCCAGCAUUUUGUGUGCACUGCUUUACAAUUUCAGGUUGGGGUUUAAAUGCUUGGAUUAUUACAGCAACUGGCCACCAGCUUCUCUGUUUUCAAUGAAUGACUUAUGUAAACAUUCUGGCCCUGCUCCCAUGACGAGUUCUAGACUCUCCUCCCCUUGUAGCCACUUGGUAAGUACUCAUUUACCUUUGUCAGUGAUAUACUCAAACACCUCAGUACUGCUGACAAUGAUCUAAAUAUAACCUGUAUCUGUUAAAUAUCUGUCAAUGACUCACUUCAGCAUUCACCACACCACUCGAUAGUGAAUACAUGCUCUCCACUGUACAUGUUAAUAAUCUAUUUAGAUAUUCAUUUCCACCUGCCUUGCACUAUUUGGAUGCUCACUUGCACUUGACAUGAUUCAUUUCACCAUGGACUUGAAUUCAUCAAAGCUUCAGUUGAACACACACCUGUAGGGGCAUAUACAUAGGGAAAAUAUUCUGUAUAUUGGAUAUAUGAAAUUUUAAAAGAAACAUUAAAUGUUAAUUUUCCAGCACCCUGGACAAUAGUUGUGAUGAAAAAUGCAGAGUUAAUAUUUCAUAUUGAAUAGCAGUGGCUCAACCAAACCGAUCCUCAUUUGCGUCAUUGUCAACAAAUUAAAAGAGUUUGUUAUUGAUUUCAGGAAGGAGGAGGGUGUAAGUGCCCAUAUUCCUGUCCUCAUCUGAGAGCUUCACAUUCCUAGGAGUCAAUGUCACCAAUAGCUUGUCAAGCAUGCUUAACAAUGCUUCUGAAGAAAUAUGGCAUGUCUCUGUCAACCCUUACCAAUUUUUAUCAAUGCACUAGAGAAAACAUUCUGGAAUAGCAACAGCUCAGCUGUGGCCACAAGAAACUGUAGAGAUUUGUGAGCAUAGUUCAUCACAUCACAGAAACCAGAAAUCUUGAUACUUCUCAAAGCCUCAGUAAAGCAGCCAGCAUAGUAAAACCCCCCCACCCACCCUAGACACUCUCUGUUCUCCUCACUUCAACUGGGAAGAAGACAAGGCCUGAAAACACUGCCAUCAGGCUUUUGGGCAGUCACUGUGAUGGAUAUACACUUUCCAGGGCACAAGAUGCUUAUUGCUGACCUCAGCUUUCUAGCAUAGCAUCCUGACAUUUCCGAAGGGUCAGUGUUGUGUGUGAUGAAGCCAAACUUCCAGCCAAUAUUCCUUGCUCAGCAUCUUGUUGUAAACAAGGAAACAAUUAAGUCUUGUUGGUCCAUGUUCAAUCAUUGCGAGCUCUCACUUAAGAGAGAAGUGGCGUGAAAUUUAAGAAGAGCUCGGGGUCUUUCAGGACUCUUCAGUGGGUUUCGUCAUAGUGGUCUAUUUGGUACUUGACAAAGGCCAAUUAAAAAGAAUUUAGAUGUAAGCAGAGUGGUCAAUGGGGCAGUGGCCAUUGUAUGAAUGGAUUACUGUUAGAGUUGUUAAGAUUUGGCUCAAGAGGCUUAGGCUGUAAUGGAUAUUCAAUUCUUGGCCAGUAGGCAUCUUUCACAUUCUUGGUUAUUUGCUAAGCUUUCUUCCUAAACACUGCAUUUGCUGUUUGUAAGAACACAAACAAAUAAACUUCCAACUAACAGUUUGACUUUUGGCUGAAAAGGGAAGUCAGUCUUCAGUUUUUGAAAUGUAAACGGCAAGCACUAAUCACUUUGAAGUUAAAGCAAGUAUUGUCUAAAGACCAGCUUUGCAAACAAGUCCUGUGGAUAGUAGAUGUUCAGCCUGGAAGAAGUAAGGUUUAGAAUUAUUAUACCUGCUUUAUUACUGCUGAACUUGUCCAUGAUGAUUGGGUAGUUACAGUAUUAUCCCCCUUUACUGAAAGUAUUCAUGACUAUUUAUAUCAGAUAGGGCUUAAAAUAUUUUAGAGCUUUCAUGCUCAGCAAACUCAAUACAGCCAAAAGGUGAGAAGGGGCAAAGGCUGUAGUAAAUUAUUAGGAAGUUUUCUUCUUUCUUUGUCUAUCAGUACACAGCUAAUCUGGUGAGAAUGGUCCAGAGUUAGUGGUACGUUUUUUGUGUGAGUUGUAGGAACUCCGAGAGACCAACAGUCUACUAACAACUACGUUUGCAUGAAGUGCAUUCAGCUGCAGCUCCUUAAAGACCAUGUUAUGGAGCUGGAGCUACAGCUCGAUGGUAGAAUGCGGAGCUGGUAAGUAGUGCUAUAGGAAGUUAGUCACCCCUACGUUGCAGGAGGCAGGUAGUUGGGUGACUGUCAGGAGAGGAAAAGGGAAUAGGCAGCCAGUGCAGAGUACCCCUGUGGCCAUUCCCCUCAACAAUAAGUUUACCACUUUGGAUACGGUUGAGAGGGAGAGCCUGGCAGGGGAAAACCUCAGUGACUAGGUCUCUGGCUCUGUCGCUCAGAAGGUAGUUCAAAAGAUUGUGCAGCCAUUAGUAGUGAUCAUUUAAGAAUCACUAGGUUCUGAAAUGGUUCAGGAGGACAGGAAAUUUGCAAAUGUCAUUCCACUCUUUAAGAAGGGAGGGAGGCAAAAGAAAGGAAAUUGCAGGAGUUUUAGCCAGAGGAUGGAGAAGUUCUUUGCCACAGGCAGCUGUGGAGGCCGGGUCAGUGGGUGUAUUUAAGGCAGAGAUUGAUAAGUUCUUAAUUAUUUAGGGCGUAGAAGGUUACAGGGAGAAGCAGGAGAAUGGAGUUGAGAGGAUCAGCCAAGAUGAAAUGGCAAAGCAGGCUCACUGGGUCACAUGGCCUAAUUCUGUUCCUAUGCAUUAUGGUCUUGUGGUAUAAUUCAUUCCUUAAUCUUUGGUUUCUGCAAUAGGCAAGUCACUCAUCUGCAGCUCAUUGGUAUGAUAAUUUUGUUCAUAAGAAUUGUAACUAUGGAAAUCCUUUGUAGUUUAUAAAUCUUUUGUAAUUUGGAACUCUUUUAUAAAUCAGAAAAUCCUCCGUCAGUGUUAAAUGUGUAUUGAAAACUAUUUGCCUAAAUUGAAACUCACCAAUUCGCAGCUCUUUACUUCAGUCCCACCCUCUCUCCCGGUUUCACCUAUCACCUACCACCUUGUUCUUCUUCAUCCCCUCCACCAACCUUCUUACUCUGACUUCCCCCUUCCUUUCCAGUCCCGAUGGAGGGUCUCGGCUCAAGACCUCGACUGUUCACCCUUCUUCAUAGAUGCUACCUGACCCGCUGAGUUCCUCCAGCAUUUUGCAUUUGUUGCUCUGGAUCUCCAGCAUUUGUUGGUUUUCUCGUGUUUGUGUAUCAUUAACACUAAACUAAGCUGUGCUUAAGAUGUUGACAGCUAGAUCUCACUGCAGAGAAUAGACAGGGAAGUAAGAUAGUCUUUGACGAGUAGAUUAUAACAGUUUAACCUGCCUAUAGUGAGGUUUCCCAUAGAUCCCUGUAUUGGAUUGAUAUUUGGUAAAUGUGUUUUUAAACAUAGUAAGAUUAUUCCUGACUCCAAUAACUACAUGUACAGCAAGUCCACCAAAUGAGUGAGCUGUUCAUUUUUCAGAGUAGCUAGCCGGGAUGUCGCAAGAGCUGGCCAGUGGUUCAGUGAAGGUGAGUUGGGCCAUCUAGCUGGGAUUGUCAAGAAGGGCCACUGGGCAGAGAUUUUGAGUCAUGCUGUCCGACAGAACAAUUCGAGUUGGGCCGUCAGGCAGAGGGAUUCGAGUCAGGCUGUCGGGCCUGGAGAUUUGUGUUGGGGUGUCGGGCCUGGAGAUUCAUGUUGGGGUGUCGGGCCUGGAGAUUCACGUUGGGCUGUCGGGUCUGGGAAUUGGAGUCAGGCUGUCAGGCCUGGAGAUUCAUGUCGGGGUGUCAGGCACAGCGAUUUGAGUUGGGCUUUUGGACAGAGGGAUUUGUGUCAGGCUGUCAGGCCGCAGAUUGGGUUCGGAAGAGCUGACCUGGGUGCAGACCGUGCUGCUGUGUGCUACUGGGAGGCACUGGAGUUGGUGCGAAGGUGAUGUGUAGUGGAACCAUGAGUGACUGUCCUGGGCGUUUCUUUUAUGAUCACAUGACCCUGUUGGGCAUUGAUUUUUGCAGGCCUGCUUCCCUUGUUUGGUGGUGCGACAUGUGGUGAGGCAGCAGUGUCGCCUCAGUUGUGGCGAAGACUAAGCCUCAAUCCUCGGGCUUGCUUUGAAGCAUGGCAUCUGGGUUCGGUUGGCAGUGGCCUCUCCUGUUGGUGCUGCUCUCUAGUGUUGGAUUGGUGGAAUUACAGGCUGGACUGCCAAGACCCAUUGAUUUGCAGGACUUGAAAUAAAAAUGUGUUUGCUUACGUGACUAUAUUCUAUUUUUCUUCGUUUCUCAUUAUUUUGAAUGUGUGUGUAUAUCUUGGCACUGGAGGAAUGAUAUCUUAUUCAUUUGUAUCGAUGUAUGGUUUGAAUGACAAUUAAACUCGAUUUGAUUUGAUUUGAGUUUUGGGCUUUGUGGACUGUGAACCCAAUACCUUCACUCUUCUACCCCUCUGUUAUAAGAGUACUGACUGUUUCUCUAGCUAAAAUGGACUCUUAACUUCACAAUCAUUAGAAGUUCUGUGCGGAAUCUGUAAAUAAAUAAUAAAUCAUGAGCCUGAACCUUACUGUUUACCUGCUCUGCAUUGUCUCUGUAGCUGUUACAGUUUAUUCUACACCGUUAUUUUGUUUUACCUUGUGUCAAGCUCAAUCUGACUGUGCGCACAGUAUACAAAACAAGCCUUUCACUGUAUCUUGGUAUAAGUGAAAUUAAUA